This 65-nucleotide transfer RNA is filed under the name Pseudopleuronectes yokohamae (marbled flounder). Its description in RNAcentral is "tRNA-Cys". Lineage: Eukaryota; Metazoa; Chordata; Actinopteri; Pleuronectiformes; Pleuronectidae. The record is from RNAcentral.
AGCUCUGGGGUGUUACAUGUUAGAUUGCAAAUCUAAAGAAGCAGACUAACCGUCUGCCGGGGCUU